AACGUAGGAGACAGACGUUAUCCGGAGUUACUGGGCGUAAAGGGCGUGUAGGUGGUAUCGUAAGUCUGGCGUGAAAUUUCUCGGCUUAACCGAGGCAGGUCGUCGGAUACUGCGAGGCUAGAGGACGGUAGAGGCGUGUGGAAUUCCGGGUGUAGUGGUGAAAUGCGUAGAGAUCCGGAGGAACACCAGUGGCGAAGGCGACACGCUGGGCCGUACCUGACACUGAUGCGCGACAGCAUGGGGGAGCAAACAGG
This 254-nucleotide ribosomal RNA is filed under the name uncultured bacterium. Its description in RNAcentral is "partial 16S ribosomal RNA". It matches the Rfam family "Bacterial small subunit ribosomal RNA", at positions 524 to 776 of the family's 1533-position model. The record is from RNAcentral.